UACGUAGGAGACGAGCGUUGUCCGGAAUUACUGGGCGUAAAGCGCGUGUAGGCGGAUGAGCAAGUCUGCUGUGAAAGCUCCUGGCUUAACCGGGAGUGGUCGGUGGAAACUGCUCGUCUGGAGGACGGUAGAGGUAGGUAGAAUUCCCGGUGUAGUGGUGAAAUGCGUAGAGAUCGGGAGGAAUACCUGUGGCGAAGGCGGCCUACUGGGCCGGACCUGACGCUGAGGCACGAAAGCGUGGGGAGCAAACAGG
RNAcentral lists this ribosomal RNA (253 nucleotides) under uncultured bacterium. RNAcentral describes it as "partial 16S ribosomal RNA". It matches the Rfam family "Bacterial small subunit ribosomal RNA", at positions 524 to 776 of the family's 1533-position model. The record is from RNAcentral.